ACGAGAAGACCCCGUAAAGCUUUAAUAUUAUUAUUGAUAUUUUUAUUUAUUUUGUUUUUUGUUGGGGCAACAGGUAUGAGGCGAUAAUGAUUAUUUUAGAGGUUUGGGUUUUUAGUCGGAGUUUGAUCCAAUAUUUUUGACAUUGAGACAAGCUACUUUGGGGAUAACAGCGUAAUUAGGCCUGAGAGUUCUUAUUGACGGUAUAGUUUGCGACCUCGAUGUUGAAUUAAGAUACCAUUUUAUUGUAGCUGGUAAUUUUGGGGGUCUGUUCGACCUUAAAAUUCUUACAUGAUUUGAGUUCAGACCGGCGUAAGCCAGGUCGGUUUCUAU
Strigamia maritima is the source of this 330-nucleotide non-coding RNA. NCBI's taxonomy places the organism in Eukaryota, Metazoa, Arthropoda, Chilopoda, Geophilomorpha, Linotaeniidae. The record is from Rfam.